GACGAACGCUGGCGGCGUGCCUAAUACAUGCAAGUCGAACGCAGUGGGGACGGGUGCGUAACACGUGGGUAACCUCCCAUCAGAGGGGAUAACACUUGGAAACAGCUGCUAAACCGAUACUGCUGGAUGGACCCGGUGUGCAUUAGCUAGUUGGUGAGGUAACGGCUCACCAUGGCCACGAUGCAUAGCCGAGCUGAGAGGAGGAGCGGCCACACUGGGACUGAGACACGGCCCAGACUCCUACGGGAGGCAGCAGGAGGGAAGCUUGGGCAAUGGACGAAAGUAUGACCGAGCAACGCCGCGGGAGUGAAGAAGGUUUUCGGAGCGUAAAGCUCUGGUGUUAGAGAAGCGGGAACUAAAGAGAAAGCCACGGCUAACUACGUGCCAGCAGCCGCGGUAAUAG
Molecule: ribosomal RNA, 403 nt
Filed under: uncultured bacterium
Lineage: Bacteria
Description: partial 16S ribosomal RNA
Rfam family: Bacterial small subunit ribosomal RNA
Source: RNAcentral